RNAcentral lists this long non-coding RNA (808 nucleotides) under Phascolarctos cinereus (koala). RNAcentral's name for it is "lncRNA (ENSPCIG00000033031.1)". The record is from RNAcentral. Lineage: Eukaryota; Metazoa; Chordata; Mammalia; Diprotodontia; Phascolarctidae.
CGGACCUUCCAACUCGGCUUCCACAGUUCCGAAGCCAGGGAGUCUACCACGUGGUGUAGAACAGUAGGGCAGCGCAUGCGCCUAAGGGACACACCCUCCCCCUUUCCUCUAGCCGUCCUUAGUUCCCAAUGACGUCGGCCAGCCCUCACGCUGCUCUUUCCUUGUUAUUGACAGCUCCGCCCCAGCUCUCGCCCCGCCCUCCCUUCCCUCCCUGUUUAAGAUUCAUCAUCAAUAGUUCUUGCCUCCUUCUGGUCUGUCUACACUGUACCAACCCCUUCCCCACAGCCCCCACCACCGCCACCCGGCCAUCCUAACCCCCGAGUGCGCGUGCCCGUCCUUCCCGGCCCUCCCCUCUCUCCUCCUCCCUCCCUUCCCCACCAAGUCGGAGCUAUUCCACGCGCGCGCGCGCGCGCGCGCGCGCGGUCCCCGGCUGUCUGGAGUCAGUUGCUCCGGCGUCCGCGCGCGCUGGUCUGUCCCUGCCCCUGCUGCUGCCGCCGCCGCGGGGGCCGCCGGGGCCUCGUCCUGUCGCCGCCUGCGGAGCGCGAGCGCCGGGACCCGGGCGCGCGGCCCCCCGCUUAGGCUCAGCCAGGUGAGCGCCGCAGCUGCCCCCCAGCCCUGGCCGCCGGGGUCCCUCCCGCUCCUGUCAGCAGCCCGAGCACCGCGCGGAGGGGGCAGGGGCGCUGAGGGGGGGGAACCCCGAGGGGCCUGGCGGAGGGAGGGAACGAGGGAGUCCCGAGGCCCGCGGAGCCAGAGCACACCCAGUAUAUGUGAGCAGUUCUGUAGAGCUCCAGGAAUGCUGACUAUUUGA